RNAcentral lists this small RNA (145 nucleotides) under Erwinia billingiae. Lineage: Bacteria; Pseudomonadati; Pseudomonadota; Gammaproteobacteria; Enterobacterales; Erwiniaceae. The record is from RNAcentral.
CCAUAAAAAAAGACCGAAGACGAUUCCUAUCUUCGGUCCAGGGAAAUGGCUCCUUGUGGGAGCCGUGCGCUAAAAGUUGGCAUUUAUGCAGGCUAUGUCGCCUUGCCCUUUAAAAGGUAGUACAGGCGCGGGGAUUUUCCAGCCA